ACAAGUACCGUGAGGGAAAGUUGCAAAGCACUUUGAAGAGAGAGUUAAAGAGGACGUGAAACCGGUAAGGUGGAAACGGAUAGAGUCGGCGUAUCAUUCAAUUAUUCAGUUACAUUAUUUUUAUGUUGUGACCUCUGAGCUCCAGAUUGGGACAGAGGGAAUCAGCAUAAUUUUUUGUGGUGCAUUUACUUGAUUGGUGCUUGGGGAUGUUUGAGGCAGAUUUGUUUCCGUCGUUUUGAGGCCAGCUUGCUGGUACCCAAACGGUGUUAGCAUUUUUUGUCUUGGGCAUUUGAGUAUGGCUCACGUGUAUUUAUUGGACAGAUCUGAGUGUAAGUUACGGUCGCAUGCGACACGUGCUUUUCAAUUAGUUCGGUCCAGUUAAUGCUCUCGUACUCGUUCCCCAUGUAAAAGCCGGUCAUCUAUCCGACCCGUCUUGAAACACGGACCAAGGAGUUUAUCGUGUGCGCAAGUUUUUGGGUGUUAAAAACUUAAAAGCGAAAUGAAAGUAAAUGACUCUUUAGAGUCUGAUGUGCGAUCUUGUAAAAAAGUGUAGCAUGGCCCCAUUCUAACUGUUUACAGUAGGGUGGCGGAAGAGCGUACGCGGUGAGACCCGAAAGAUGGUGAACUAUUCCUGAGCAGGACGAAGCCAGGGGAAACUCUGGUGGAAGUCCGAAGCGGUUCUGACGUGCAAAUCGAUCGUCUGACUUGGGUAUAGGGGCGAAAGACUAAUCGAACCAUCUAGUAGCUGGUUCCUUCCGA
This 759-nucleotide ribosomal RNA is filed under the name Meloidogyne arenaria. RNAcentral's name for it is "eukaryotic LSU rRNA". It matches the Rfam family "Eukaryotic large subunit ribosomal RNA", at positions 344 to 964 of the family's 3401-position model. Lineage: Eukaryota; Metazoa; Nematoda; Chromadorea; Rhabditida; Meloidogynidae. The record is from RNAcentral.